RNAcentral lists this long non-coding RNA (1228 nucleotides) under Nicotiana tabacum (common tobacco). RNAcentral's name for it is "long non-coding RNA (NTAB_LNC007656)". The record is from RNAcentral. Lineage: Eukaryota; Viridiplantae; Streptophyta; Magnoliopsida; Solanales; Solanaceae.
UCCGGUUUUAUUCGUUCUGGCUCAAAUCUUGCGCGUUUCGCCCCUAAUUGCUCCCGAAUCAUUCCUACACAUAAAAACACUUCAAAUUAACAUAAAUCAUAGCAGUUAACACCCCAAAUUCACGAAACAAAAGUAAAAUAUAAGGCGAUAUACGUUGAAAUAUAUAUGCUUUAAGCUAAACAUCACCUAUUAUAACAAAUCAAGCCAUACUAAUAAUCUAUUUAAAGAAUGCCUGUGUGUAUAAUUUAGAUCCCUUCUCAUGAGUAACCAAUAGCUUUAGAGCGCUAAAUCUUAGGCUUAAUGUUAUUUGCCAGAACUUAUAAUCAAUUAAUUAACUUUAACUCUGAGGCGUUGUUUCUUGUGGGCGGGCAAUAUUGGGGAGGCUAGGGAAAUAUGGUGAAAAAUAUUGGGACCCACAUCUGCAAAAUAUUGUCUCGUUUUAAUUUUUUUUGUUAAACUCAUCUUUAUAUUCUAUUUAUAAAAUAUUAAUUUAUAUAUAUAUAUAUAUAUAUAUAUAUAUAUAUUAAAAUUUUAAUUUAAAUAUUUUUAUUUUUUACUCUUAAUGACACUCCUUGUAGAUAUGACAUGAUAAAUUAAGAUUAUAAAAUAAUGGAAUAUUUUAAUAUAUUAUACACACCUUUAGUUUAAGACGCAAGAUUAACAAGUUUUCUUUAUAUUCUUAAAUACCGUCAAACUCAUAUUUGAUUUCCCACUUUGGCCAAACUUUUAUUAUAAAUAGAGCCUCUCUCGAAUGUGAACAACAGAGAGCUCUCUGGUUUGAGAAAAUGGCUAACUCACCUCUUCAAUCCCCAAUAGCCAAAAAGUUAUUUCCUUUUUCUAUUUUCCUUAUAUCUUCAUAAUACUUUUCCUGCGCACUUAGAUAAUGAUCGUACUAAUCCUUAUUUUAACUUCUUUUUACAGGUUACAAGGUAAGGUAGCAUUUAUAACCGGUGGUGCUAGCGGCAUAGGAGCAGCUACAGCUAGGCUAUUUGUUCAACAUGGUGCAAAGGUUAUAAUUGCAGACAUUCAAGACAGCCUCGCAACUAGCGUUGUACAAGAGAUUGGCACAGAAAAUGCAACCUUUAUCCAUUGUGAUGUCGCGAUUGAAUCGGACGUCCAAAAUGCGGUGGAUGCAACAGUUGCCAAAUUUGGUAAGCUUGACAUAAUGUACAGUAACGCUGGUGUAUUGGGCAAGCCAAUAUCCAGCAUCUUAGAAGUCGAUUAUGAC